This 301-nucleotide ribosomal RNA is filed under the name uncultured bacterium. RNAcentral describes it as "partial 16S ribosomal RNA". It matches the Rfam family "Bacterial small subunit ribosomal RNA", at positions 509 to 807 of the family's 1533-position model. The record is from RNAcentral.
CAGUCGCCGCGGUAAAACGGAGGAUCCGAGCGUUAUCCGGAUUUAUUGGGUUUAAAGGGUGCGUAGGCGGCUUUUUAAGUCAGGGGUGAAAGACGGUAGCUUAACUAUCGCAGUGCCUUUGAUACAGAAGAGCUUGAAUGUACUUGAGGUAGGCGGAAUGUGACAAGUAGCGGUGAAAUGCGUAGAUAUCAAGAGGAACACCGGUGGCGAAGGCGGCUUCCUGGAAGAUACCUGACUCUGAAACACGAAAGCCAGGGGAGCGAAUGGGAUUAGAGACCCCCGUAGUCCCUGUCUCUUAUAC